Molecule: transfer RNA, 90 nt
Filed under: Rickettsiales bacterium TMED127
Lineage: Bacteria; Pseudomonadati; Pseudomonadota; Alphaproteobacteria; Rickettsiales
Also listed under: 1 other name
Description: tRNA-Ser
Rfam family: tRNA
About the family: Transfer RNA (tRNA) molecules are approximately 80 nucleotides in length. Their secondary structure includes four short double-helical elements and three loops (D, anti-codon, and T loops).
Source: RNAcentral
GGAUGGGUGACUGAGAGGCCGAAAGUACCAGGUUGCUAACUUGGCGAACGAGCAAUCGUUCCGUGGGUUCGAAUCCCACCCCAUCCGCCA